This 338-nucleotide ribosomal RNA is filed under the name uncultured Anaerolineaceae bacterium. RNAcentral's name for it is "bacterial SSU rRNA". It matches the Rfam family "Bacterial small subunit ribosomal RNA", at positions 1030 to 1382 of the family's 1533-position model. Lineage: Bacteria; Bacillati; Chloroflexota; Anaerolineae; Anaerolineales; Anaerolineaceae. The record is from RNAcentral.
UUAUACAGGUGUUGCAUGGCUGUCGUCAGCUCGUGUCGUGAGAUGUUCGGUUAAGUCCGCUAACGAGCGCAACCCUCGCCGUAUGUUACAAGUGUCAUACGGGACUGCCGGUAAAAAGCCGGAGGAAGGUGAGGAUGAUGUCAAGUCAGCAUGACCUUUAUAUCCAGGGCUACACACACGCUACAAUGGUCUGUACAAUUGGUUGCCAAGCCGCGAGGCGGAGCCAAUCCGUAAAGCAGGCCUCAGUUCAGAUUGCAGUCUGCAACUCGACUGCAUGAAGCCGGAGUUGCUAGUAACCGCAGGUCAGCAAUACUGCGGUGAAUACGUUCCCGGGUCUU